GAUGAACGCUGGCGGCGUGCUUAACACAUGCAAGUCGAACGGGAAACCUUUUAUUGAAGCUUCGGCAGAUUUAGCUGGUUUCUAGUGGCGGAUGGGUGAGUAACGCGUGGGUAACCUGCCUUAUACAGGGGGAUAACAACCAGAAAUGGUUGCUAAUACCGCAUAAGCGCACAGGACCGCAUGGUCCGGUGUGAAAAACUCCGGUGGUAUAAUAUGGACCCGCGUUGGAUUAGGUAGUUGGCAGGGUAACGGCCUACCAAGGCGACGAUCCAUAGCCGGCAGGGGAGGGUGAACGGCCACAUUGGGACUGAGACACGGCCCAGACUCCUACGGGAGGCAGCAGUGGGGAAUAUUGCACAAUGGGGGAAACCCUGAUGCAGCGACGCCGCGUGAAGGAAGAAGUAUCUCGGUAUGUAAACUUCUAUCAGCAGGGAAGAUAGUGACGGUACCUGACUAAGAAGCCCCGGCUAACUACGUG
RNAcentral lists this ribosomal RNA (478 nucleotides) under uncultured bacterium. RNAcentral's name for it is "partial 16S ribosomal RNA". It matches the Rfam family "Bacterial small subunit ribosomal RNA", at positions 28 to 507 of the family's 1533-position model. The record is from RNAcentral.